Molecule: ribosomal RNA, 497 nt
Filed under: uncultured bacterium
Lineage: Bacteria
Description: partial 16S ribosomal RNA
Rfam family: Bacterial small subunit ribosomal RNA
Source: RNAcentral
GAUGAACGCUGGCGGCGUGCCUAAUACAUGCAAGUCGAGCGAACAGACGAGGAGCUUGCUCCUUUGACGUUAGCGGCGGACGGGUGAGUAACACGUAGGUAACCUACCUAUAAGACUGGGAUAACUUCGGGAAACCGGAGCUAAUACCGGAUAAUAUUUCGAACCGCAUGGUUCGAUAGUGAAAGAUGGCUUUGCUAUCACUUAUAGAUGGACCCGCGUCGUAUUAGCUAGUUGGUAAGGUAACGGCUUACCAAGGCAACGAUACGUAGCCGACCUGAGAGGGUGAUCGGCCACACUGGAACUGAGACACGGUCCAGACUCCUACGGGAGGCAGCAGUAGGGAAUCUUCCGCAAUGGGCGAAAGCCUGACGGAGCAACGCCGCGUGAGUGAUGAAGGUCUUCGGAUCGUAAAACUCUGUUAUUAGGGAAGAACAAACGUGUAAGUAACUGUGCACGUCUUGACGGUACCUAAUCAGAAAGCCACGGCUAACUACGUG